UUUGGAGCGGCAACACGCGGCGGCGGCGGCGGCACCCGGGGAGGCCGUGCACCCUGUGCCUCCUGCAGUGGUGCCGAGUGCGGCCGAGGGUGUGGCCGCAGCGGCCGUGCCAGUUACGAUGGUGCCGGCAGGAUCGGGGACCUCAAAUCCCGAUAGUGCGGCGGAGGAGGCGGAGCGGGAGCGCACGUUGGCAGCUCUCAUUCAGUUUCAGAAGUUCAACCCACCCACCUUCGAAGGUGGAGUGGUGGAGCCGACGAUCGUGGAGUCAUGGAUCGACUCCAUGGAGACACUCUUUGAGGAUCUUAACACCUUGGAGAGGGACAAGGUGUACCUCGCCACACAUUGCCUCGAGAAGGCGGCGAAGGUGUGGUGGAAGCGUGUUAGGCGGGAUCGAUCGCCCGAUCUUCCGCCUA
Molecule: long non-coding RNA, 413 nt
Filed under: Ananas comosus (pineapple)
Lineage: Eukaryota; Viridiplantae; Streptophyta; Magnoliopsida; Poales; Bromeliaceae
Description: long non-coding RNA (ACOM_LNC026190)
Source: RNAcentral